Molecule: long non-coding RNA, 874 nt
Organism: Malus domestica (apple)
Lineage: Eukaryota; Viridiplantae; Streptophyta; Magnoliopsida; Rosales; Rosaceae
Source: RefSeq, a predicted model, not a curated record
GGGGAGUUCAUUGUGAGGGAGGAAAUUAGAUGAAGAGGGUAGGUCGGGGUUCGAAAAGGGGUUGGACUCUCGAAUCUUUCUCUCCUACCAUCUAAGCAAAGGGAAUGAAAUUUCAGAAUUUGAUAGAUUUAGUUGGUUCUGAAUAAUUGCUAAAACUGGAGUUGCCAACCAGAGCAAGGAAGAGGACGACGCGACCUCAGCAAGGAAGAUGAAUUUUUUUUGUCGGUGUGAUGUAUCUCAGUGUGAUGGAGAGACAAAAAGAGGGUAGGAUCGGCAUUUAAAAACUUUCAUUAAACACCCUGUUCACCCGUGUUUUCAAUAAAAAAAAAUCCGAUUUUUCAAAGCAGCAAAUAAUUGCUUCAAGAUUUCAGCUUUUUAUGACCAUAACUUUGGAAAUAAGCGCCCUUUCGCUCUGUUACCAAACAUAAUUUUUAGGCCAGCUUUUUUCACCCGUGCUUUUAAAAAAAUUUAAACAGUACCAAACUGGUUCUAACUCUCUUUUCCUCUCACCGUCUACAAGCCACUUUGUUUGCUUUAUCUUUUUUCUUCAUCUUUACAAUUUUUUUCUUCGAUUUUCGUUGAUGGGUCGCAUCAUUUAUAGAUAAAAAUGAUGUUAGUUGCAUCAUUUCUCAUAUGUAGUAGUGUUGUUGGGUCACAAUUUUUCACAUCUUCAAUUUUUUAUCACGCAGCAAUCACCUCUUGUUCUUUGUCAUUUUUUUUUUCCACUUACCCUUUUGAGAUUUCUUUGGAGUUUUCUUUUUUCUAAUCACCGGAGCCCUCUGCUGAUUGUUGUUGCUUCUGCAGCAUGGGUUCAUGUAUAACACGUGUAUUUACUAACUACGCACGCGACUAUUGAAAUUAUUUCAAUUUUUUA